Molecule: long non-coding RNA, 847 nt
Organism: Apis cerana (Asiatic honeybee)
Lineage: Eukaryota; Metazoa; Arthropoda; Insecta; Hymenoptera; Apidae
Source: RefSeq, a predicted model, not a curated record
UCGGGGAUUGCAAACGUAUUAAUAGAUGGGGAUACGGGUAAUCCAAUGAAUUUAUAGUUAGGAUCGAGCUGUGCUCUGGCGCACUGCAUGCAGUAAUCCUGAGUUGCGUUACGGUCAUCCUUGUGUACGCACCUGUCUGCCGCUCAAUCAUAUUCUAUUCGAUUCAAUCCCAUCUAAGAACGACAAACUUAUCCCCAAUUCCCUCUAACCACGAAUCGAUUUCUCCGACGUUCACGUAUUCGUUAUCAAGUUAUCCUUUAAAAAAAAAAAAAAGAAAGGGGAGAAGAAAAAUAUCAUCCUUAUACAAAUCGAUCGAUUAUCCAUAAACUAAAUAUGUUCUUUUUACGCCACCUAGAGUAAAAAUCCACCCCCGUAGCAGCGAUAAAACAGGUCCUUAAUCAGAUUCUCCCGCGACAAAGGGACGUGGCAAGCCUCCUUGCGAGAGACGCAAGAGGGUGGAUGAUAAAUAAUCGCGAUUUCAUUUGUCACGAAGGAAACGAAAGUUAUGAAGAGCGAUAAAGAGCUGGGAAGAAUAAAGCGGGAGCUUGUCGUGUAAUCCAUCGAGAAGAGGAAAAAAAGGGAGGGAGAGAAGGGAAGAGAGGAUGGAGAGAAAGUUUUCCAAGUUUUCCAAGCAAUGGGGACAGGAGGUGCAGCAACAGUGAACGGUAGAGCGAUAUUCUGAUACAUUUGUAGAAGAAAAAAGAAUGACGAAACGGAUAAUCGAAGCGGAUGUAUAAAAAGAUAGAGAAAACUGGGAAAAAGAAGACACACGAGAAAGAAGAAAAGAUCCGAAAUGAGAAAGAAGAGAACCACCGAAAGGGAGGAGGAGGAGGAGGAGGAGUCGAGG